Molecule: long non-coding RNA, 12136 nt
Filed under: Capsicum annuum
Lineage: Eukaryota; Viridiplantae; Streptophyta; Magnoliopsida; Solanales; Solanaceae
Description: long non-coding RNA (CANN_LNC006538)
Source: RNAcentral
AAAUUGUGUGCGUACAAAAGAAAGAAAAACACAAAAUAAAAUAAACUUUCGCAGAGCUUUUCUCCUCUAACAAAGCUCCUCAAUCCAAACUCCAAUGAUCUCAAUUAACCUUAUACAAGUAUGUGGGAAAACAAAUUGAAGAAAUAGGAUGAUAUAGAUCUCCUUAAGCAAUCAAUUAUUCAAGAGUGAUGUAACCAACAAGAGUUGUGGUGAAAUGAAUAUGAUAUCUUCCUCUGCAUUUAAUAAGUAUUUUGAAUUCAAAUUUUAAGUGUGAAAAAAUUAUAUCAAUAAGCAUCUCAGAUCUUUCGCGGUACGGAUCAUCAGUAGAAAAACAACAAAAAUGAUGUAUGGCAGCAAAAAUUGGAGAAUCAGGUGAAACCAAUUUUGAAUAUUCUUUUCAUUUACUUUUAGCUUUAGAUAUUCUAGCUUUGAUCGUAAUUUUUCAAGUAUAUGAUAUUUUUAAUAUAAGAUAAGUAUAAUAAUUAAAGGUGGCUAAAGAAAGAGAUUCGAUUAUAUUAUUAUUGUAACUAAGAUCAAAGGCGAUCCAGGAUAUGAAUUUCAGGGGUUUUGACAUUUAAGACGAGACAAUCACCUCAAGCUAAUAUAUAAUAAUCGUCAAAGUACAGAUAUGUAAUAUAUUUAAAAAACAUUCAUUUAAACACUACAUAAAUAUAAAUAUUAUCAUUAUAAUUGUACUCGACUACUUGUCAUAUUUAGGAAACGAUCAAUAAUCGCAUCGUUAGAUACACUUUUAAAUAUGCCAUCCUCUAUUUAAUAAACUAAACAAUUAUUUAGAAAAUUAUCACUAGUUCUACUUCACAAGUAAUUUUUAACACAUUUCAUGAAGAAAAAAGUUCUUUUGUUUGUGCCUAUUUUCAUUGUAACUUAUAUAAAGAUUGUAAAUUAUGAAAAAAAAAAAAAUUACAUUAGAAAAUUUUCAAAAAUAUGAAAAGGACCACAUACUUGUUGGGUUAUCGUAAAUUCUGAGUUGAAGCUUCAAGAAAUACCAAACAUUAAUAUAUAUAAAAGAACAAUAUGGGAGAUACAUAGAAUCAAAUUAAAAUCAUUUUUUAAAUAUAUAUUAUGCAUUAUGAUAGGCAAAGAAAUUGAAAAUAAAAAAGUAGGAGGAGAGGAGAAAGACUGAAAGAAUUUUCUAAACAUAUCAAUCACGAGGUUUGAACUCCAACCGAGAAGGUGGCGACAUGCAAAGGAUUUUAUAGUUUUGAAGAGAAAGAAGAAUAAUUUUUAGUCGGAGUCUCCCUUUUAUUUGUGAAGCAAAUUCAUUGAAAAGGAAGAAAAAUAAUUUCACAUUAUGGAGAAAAAAUAAUUACCAACAUGGGUUGUGGUGCAGUGGAUGGGGCUGCUCCACCCUUAACCAGAGGUCGAGAGUUCGACCUUGGAUAUGGAGAAAACUCUAUUGGGAGUGCUGCCACCUUAAUCGGUCCUGCAUCACGUGAUUCAGAUUAAUCGGGGCUCCAAUGCGGCACCAGACACCAUAUGGGAAACCAAAAAAAAUAAUUAAAAUAUUGUCCCUUCUGUAUGGGUAAAUUCGAAGCAAUGUUUUAACCAGAUGUUUGAAACAAUUGUAAGAUUUGGAAAGAAUAAAACAGUAUUUGAAAAUAAUAUUUCAAAACUAGAAUUGUGUUUAGAAGAAUAUAAAUUAGAGUUGUUGUUUUUCUUUCUUUUAAAGAAAAUCUGCGUUGAAGGUCUAUCGAAAAUAAGUUCUCUACUUUAUAUGAGGUAGUGGUAUGAACUGCAUAUACUUUACCCUCCAUAAACCCCACUUUGUGUAUUACACUUUAUCCUCCCUAAAGAAAUUUGCAUAUAUGUAUAUAUCCAGAUUUAAAUCUGCACAAGUAUAUUUAAAUUCCUGGGGUUUGAACCCAUAUCGUCAAGAACAGAAAAUCUUAGCACCUUCCCCAUCACCAAUCGACCGGAAACUAGCUUUGACAUGGGUUCACACUCUAAUAAAUAUAGAUAUUUACUGAAUUUUCUAACACAAAUACAAGAUCUACACUAAAGUAAUUAGGUUUGUCCAAACCCUCUAAUACACCGUAGUUGCGCCCCUAAUUAGAUAAAUAUUAGAGCACAGCAAUUUAAAACGAACGGAAGAGAUAUAUAUUAGAAUUAGAGUUAGAAUAUAUAUGUUAGAGUCAAAAUUAGAUUUAGAGUUAAAACAUUUUACUUAUAAUUAAUUAAUUAUGCGAAGACCAUUUAAAAAUAGAGAAACUUUUAGAAAAAUUAAAGAAUCUUUAAUUAGUAAUUAUUCAGAAUAUAUAAGUCUAAAUAAAACAAAAGAAAAUCCACAAAAACUAGCCUACUUAAUUACAUUAAUAUCUAGUAUUGAAUCAAAAUUAAUAACACAUUUAAAAUCUAGAAGAAUGAAACAUAUACCACCUAAUUAUGAUAAAAUUAGAUUCAGAUAUCCACCAAGAUAUUAUGAAUAUAAUUUAAAAUGAAUAAAGUACAACAAUAUAAAGAAUUAAAACAAAUUAUCUCUGAAAAACGUAAAGAAUUAAAAAUAAGAAUAAAAAGACUACAUUAUAAUAUAUUUGCCGGAGUUAGUAAAAAUUCAAUAGAUACACAAAAAGAUGAAAUAUCAAAAUUAGAAUCGCAAAUAGAUAGUUUAGAAUAUGUAUAUCAACAUGACCUAUUCACAAUAAAAUGAAUAAAGAAGAAUUUAUAAUAGAUGAAAAAAUAUAUGAAAACUACGAAGGAUCAAAAAUAAAAAUAGUAUUUUCUAAUCUAGGACGAAGAUAUAAGAAAAUAGGUGAACAUUUAUAUCUAAUGUUAGAAAAAGAAGAAUUAAAAUUAGAAGAUAAAUUAACAGCAAUGGUAAGAAUAGAAAAAGAAAAUGAAGAGAUAGAUAGGAAAAAAGAAAUAGAAAAAAUAAAACAACAAACUACGGAAGAAAUACGAAAAAUAGAAGAAACCAAAAAUAGUAGAAUUGCUGAAUUAGAAAAAGAAUUACAAAUGUUAAAAGAACUGUAUGAACAAAGACAAAAAGAAAAAGAAGAAAAAGAUAGAGAACAGAAAUUACUAAAUGAGAUAAAUCAAUUUAAGGAAAAAUUAGAAAUAAAAAAUGAAGAAUUAGAAAUAAAUAAUAUAGAUAUUGAAGAGACAGAUAAUUAUGAGUCCGAAGAUAGUGAAACAUACACAGAAAUAUUAACAAAUACAAAAAAUUUAGAAAUCAAUGAAGAACAAAAAAUUAAUGAGGAAAACUUAGAAAAUACCCACACAGAAAUAAAUACUCUUGAUAAAAAAGAAAAUGAAAAUAUAAUACCUAAAACAACAGAAAUAAGAAAACCUAUAUACCAUAAGAAUAAGUUUAAAAAAUAUAAUGAAUAUGAUAAAUGGAUACCAAAACAAAUAGUGAAUAAAAAUUAUAACUUUUUAGAUCUAGACUGUGUAAUAGAUACAGAAAAAACAAUACAAUUAUGGAUAGGAUAUAUGACAAAACAAUUAUUAGAUAAUAAUAUAAAUAUAACAGAUGCACCGGAAUAUAUAGAAAAAACACUAAUAGGAUCAGUAAAACUAUGGUUUGCAAAUCUAACCGAAAAUAGCAAAAAAGUAUUAAGAACUAAUAAACCUAUAGAAGGAACAUCAUCGACAACAACUAAACUAACACCUAUAGAAUUAUUAAAAAAAUAUGAAACAGCUAUAAAAGAUGAAUUUGGUAGUACGACAACAAUCGAAGAAGAACAAAAUGAAGAAAAAGAUACAAAUAGAAAUUUAAUGUUAAAAUUAGCAAUAUGUAAUAUGUGUUAUAUAGAUGAAUAUACUUGCGCAUUUAAAGAAUAUUAUUACAAAGGAGCAUAUAGUAUAGAAGAAAGUAAAGAAAUAAGAAAAUUAUAUUUUAAUAAAUUACCCGAGCCAUUUAGUUCGAAAAUAAUAAAAAGUUGGGAAGAAGCAAAAAUAGUAGAUACGUUAGGAGCAAGAAUAAAAUAUUUACAACAAUGGUAUAGAAACUUAUGUGAAAAAUAUAGAGAAGAAUUAAAAAUGGAAAAAACAUUAAUAAGAAAUUUAGCUUGUUGCAAAAAUAAAAUAGCACCCCAAUUUGGAUGCGAAGAAAGAUAUUAUAAGAAAAGAAAAAGACAUAAGAAAUAUAAGAAAUAUAAAAAAUCAAAAUAUAAAUAUAAAAAACCAAGAAAAAGAUACUAUGUAAAAAAUUAUAAACAUAAAAGACCAUAUAGAAAAAAGAAAUCUAUAAAAGAAUGUACUUGUUAUAAUUGUGGAAAGUUAGGACAUUUAGCUAGAGAUUGUAAAUUACCUAAAAAUCCAAAAAAUAAACAAAUAUCAGAAAUAAAAAUAGAAAAUACCGAAUACAUGCAGAUAGAUUAUAUAGAUUAUGAAUUAGAAAGUGAAGAUAGUAUAUAUGAAAUUUCAGAAAACGAAACAGAUAAUGAAAUAGAUAGCGAAAUAGAUGAAUCAAAUGACUGAAGAAGAUAUAAAAAUAAUAACAAAGGAAGAAUAUUUAAAUGAUGAAGGAACGGAACAAAAAAUAAUAUUUGACAGUAAUAUAUUUGAUGAAAUAAAAGGAAAAGAAUUAGAUUUAAGUGUAGACAAAAUAUUUAAAAUACCAACAAUAAAAAAUAUUUUUACUAGGAAAAAAGAUGAAUAUUAUGUAGUAUGCCAAAAAGAACAUGUAAUAGAUUGCAGAUAUGCAAAAGGAAAAGCUAGUAUACCACUAGUAACAAAAAGAAUAAUUAAUAAAGAAAUAAAUGAUAUAAAAAGUAAAGGAGAUCCAAUAAAAUAUGUACACCUUGGAGGUACAGAGAUAUUAAUAAAAGCAUGUUUUAGAGAAGGAAUAGAUACACCAAUAGAAUUAUAUUUAGCAGACGAUAGAAUUAUAAAACCUAUAGAAAAAAGCAUAAUAACUGCCGUAAAAGGAAAUCUAAUAUACCAAAAAUUUAAAUUUAUAAUAAGUGCAAAUUAUUCAGUAGCAGUAACAGAUAGGAAUAUAGAUAAAUCAUUAGUAUUAUAUUGGAAAAUAUCAGGAAUAGAGUUAACCCCAGGAAGUAAAAUAUUUACAGCAAGAUGUAAAAACCUAUAUGUAUUAACAACAAAACAUAAAAUAACAGGAAAAAAUAAGAUUAACAAAAUACAAAUAGAAAGCCCAUUCGAACAAAUAGUAAAAACAAUAGAUUAUAAUGAUUAUACCUAUAGAGACAUAGAUACAGAAGAAAAUUUAGAAAUAGUAAAUGAUAGAAUAAGUACAACGAAAAGAAUAGCUAAUGAAAAGCCAGAAUCAUCAAGCUCAUCAAAAAGAACAAGUUAUGAAACAAACUCAAUAAGUAAUUUAAACCAAUAUUACAUAACGGGAAAAAUAAAUGAAAAAGAAUAUUUAAUACUUUUGAACACAGGACAAGAAGAAAAUUAUAUAGCAAAAUAUCUAGUAAAAAAUGAAGAAAUAAAAACCGACAAUAAUAUAUGCCCAGACUUACCAAGAAGUUUAAUAAAUAAUAAAAAUCUAGCAGAAAAAGAAAUAAUAUUAGGAGUUAGAAAAAUAAAAAUAGAAUUCGAAGUAAAAGAAGAAAUGCAAAAAGCAGAUAUAAUAUUAGGAAUAAAAUGGUUAGAACAAGUAAAACCAUAUAAUAUAGAACAUACACAAUUAACCUUAACAUAUAACCAAGAAAAGUUAUUCUUAAAAAGAGCCUUAACAUGAAAUGAAGAUACAUGUAUUAAUGAAGAUAGUAGUAGAAGGAUAUUACAGUAGAUAUUAUACGCCUAUGAUAGAUACAGGAGCAGAAGCUAAUUUAUGUAGAUAUAAUUGCUUACCAGAAAGCAAAUGGGAUAAACUAAAAACACCAAUAAUAGUUAAAGGAUUUAAUAAUGAAGGAAGCUUAAUUACUUAUAAAGCUAGGAAUGUAAAAAUACAAGUAUGGGAUAAGAUAUUAACAAUAGAAGAAAUUUAUAACUAUGAAUUAACAUCAAAAGAUAUACUUUUAGGAAUGCCAUUUUUAGAUAAAUUAUACCCACAUAUAAUAACUAAAACAGACUGGUGGUUUACAACACCAUGCAAACAAAAAGUAAGAGCAAAAAGAGUUAAUAAUAAAAUAAGAAAGAAAACUGAUUGGAUAAAAGGAAGUGAAAAAAUUACACAAAAGUUAGAAAAUAUAAACAAUACUGAAGAUACAGUAGAACUAGUAGUAUUUUCGAUAAAUAAAACAGAAAUAACUAUAUUUUCAAUAAAUAAAAUAGAAAUAAUUCAGAAAAAAUUAGAACAAUUAUAUAGUGAAGAUCCAUUAAAAGGAUGGGAAAAACACAAAACUACUAUAAAAAUUGAAUUAAUAGAUAAGAAUAGCAUAAUAACACAAAAACCAUUAACAUAUAAUUUUGAUGAUUUAAAAGAAUUUAAAAUGCACAUAGAUGAAUUAUUAGAAAAACAAUAUAUACAAAAAAGUAAUAGUAAACAUAAUAGUCCAGCAUUUAUAGUAAAUAAACAUAGUGAACAAAAAAGAGGAAAAAGUAGGAUGGUUAUUGACUAUAGAAAUUUAAAUGCAAAAACUAUAACAUAUAAUUAUCCGAUACCAAAUAAGAUAUUAAAAAUAAGACAAAUCCAAGGAUAUAAUUAUUUUAGCAAAUUUGAUUGUAAAUCAGGAUUUUACCACCUAAAGCUAGAAGAAGAAUCUAAAGAAUUAACCGCAUUUACGGUACCACAAGGAUUUUAUGAAUGGAACGUGUUACCAUUUGGAUAUAAAAAUGCACCAGGUAGAUAUCAACAUUUUAUGGAUAAUUAUUUUAAACAAUUAUCUAAUUGUAUAGUAUACAUAGAUGAUAUAUUAUUAUACACCAAAACCAAAGAAGAACAUUUAAAAUUAUUAGAACAAUUCACAGAUAUAAUAGAAAAAUCAGGAAUAAGUCUAAGCAAAAAGAAAGCUGAAAUUAUGAAAAACCAGAUAGAAUUUUUAGGAAUACAAAUAGAUAAAAGUGGAGUAAAAAUGCAACAACAUAUAGUACAAAAAAUAAUAAAUUCGAAAGAAGAAUUAGAUACAAAAAAGAAAUUACAAUCAUUUUUAGGAUUAGUAAACCAAGUAAGAGAAUAUAUUCCAAAAUUAGCAGAAACCUUAAAACCACUGCAGAAAAAAUUAAAAAAGGAUAUAGAAUAUAAUUAUGAUGAAAAAGAUAAAAAACAAGUUCAAAAAAUAAAAUUACUUUGUAGAGAAUUACCAAAAUUGCAAUUUCCAGAUGAAAAUAGAAAAUUUAUAUAUAUAGUAGAAGCAGAUGCAAGUGAAUAUAGUUACGGAGGAGUACUUAAAUAUCGAUAUGAAGCAGAAAAAAUAGAACACCAUUGUAGAUACUACUCAGGUACGUUCAACGAGACAGAAAUAAAAUGGGAAAUAAAUAGGAAAGAAUUAUGUUCAUUAUAUAAAUGUUUAUUAGCAUUUGAGCCAUAUAUUGUAUAUAACAAAUUUAUUGUACGAACAGAUAAUACACAGGUACGCUGGUGGUUAACAAAGAAAAUACAAAAUUCAGUUACAACAAAAGAGAUUCGAAGACUAGUUUUAAAUAUAUUAAAUUUCACAUUUACAAUUGAAGUGAUCAGUACUAACAAAAAUGUUAUUGCAGAUUACAUAUCAAGACAAAGCUACACAGACUGAAAUAGUAGAGGAAGAUACUCUAGAAAAAAUACUUAACACCCUAACUACGCUUUCAAUGAAAGUGGACAGUAUGGGUAAUGAGAUAGAAAAGCUAAAGACUAAUGAAGAUAAACUGAAGUCUAUAGCUACAAAUCAGCUAACUCAGCAAUGUGCAGAGCUAUGUCGAUCGAAAGACAUUAAAAAUCCAGAGCUAGAAGGAGACGUUGGGACACUCCAUAAAACCCAUAACAUUUAUCAAUCUACUUCUGCAGGUACAAGCAAAGGAGUUAAUAGACCAAGAUACCAGAAUGUAAAUAUGAACAAAAUAUUUGAAAAACCAUUUGUUUUAAAUUGCUAUGCUCUGAUACCAUUUGGAGGGGGGGGGGUUGUGCGGAUCUAAUAGGUAUAAUAGAUUCACUAGAAACCUACUAAAUCUAUUAUACCUGUUAGAUCCGCACACCCCCCCCUCCAAAUAUUUUUUACUUUAGUUAACUAAAAAAAGCAAAUGUUUUAUUUAGACUUAUAUAUUCUGAAUAAUUACUAAUUAAAGAUUCUUUAAUUUUUCUAAAAGCUUCUCUAUUUUUAAAUGGUCUUCGCAUAAUUAAUUAAUUAUAAGUAAAAUGUUUUAACUCUAAAUCUAAUUUUGACUCUAACAUAUAUAUUCUAACUCUAAGAAAAGUUUUUCGAGUUGGUUGAUCAAUCCCUAAGAUCUCACGUUGAAUAAAAUUUACAUGGGUGUGCGGAUCUAAUAGGUAUAAUAGAUUCACUAGAAACCUACUAAAUCUAUUAUACCUAUUAGAUCCGCACACCCCCCUCCAAAUAUUUUUUACUUUAGUUAACUAAAAAAAGCAAAUAAGAGUCCAUCUAACAAUUUAUGAUUAAUUGAUAAAAUUGUGUGAAAAACAUAUAUAUUAUCUUUAUUGAUUUGAUAUUAAUUACUAGAUUUGUAUUUUCGUACAAAAAUAUUGUAGAAGUAGUGUUUGAUUGAAUAAUGAAAAAAUUUAUAUAUAUAUAUAUAUACCAUCACAUUACUGCUCCUUAUCAUGAUUUUUUUUAUUUCCUAUCUAUUAGUAUUAAUUACUAAAUUUGUAUUUUCGUACAAAAAUAUUGUAGAAGUAGAGUUUGAUUGAAUGAUGAAAAAUUCAUCAACUUUUAUAUAGAUAUUUUGGUCCGUUAAUUUUUUUUUUUACUUUAGAUAUUUUCUUUAUUCAAAAAUAUUGUAGAAGUAGUGUUUGAUUGAAUGAUGAAAAAUUCAACAACGUUUAUAUAGAUAUUUUGGUCCGCCAAUUUUAUUUUUUACUUUAGAUAUUUUCUUUAUUCAAAUGGAACUAACACAAACCAUUAUCUUAUAUUAUAUCCUCAUGUUUCGUACGGUACAGUACGACAAAGACUCAAUAGAAAUAGAGAACAUUAUUUGUACAUUAUAGAAUGAAUAUCAUACCCAAGUAAUCUAAAGAAAUUACAGUAACAACAGUUUAGUGUAAACAUAACAAAAUCGCGCUAGAAACGAAGAAUUAUCAAUAUUCAUUCACGAACUUAGAGAGAGCUUAGAGAGAGAAAAUGGAGAAAAAUAUAUGUGCCUUUUCAUUUAUAAAGAAUCAAUACAAUGGUCCUACAAUAUCCUAUCCAUUUUUAUACAUGCUACUUCUACUUUUAUAUAAUACACAAUGGUCCUACAUAAAUAAAUUCUAAAAAUUAUAUAUAUACACAAGGUAACUUUAUCUUAUUACAUAAAAUCUCAUAUUGGAAAAGAAAUUACAAAAAUUCCAAAGUAAUUACUUAAAUCCCUUAAAUUCACUCUUUCUCUCUCAUCCCCUCAUACAUAUCAAAAUAUCAUAUUUUGCUCCUAUUUUAAUGCAUUGAUUUUUGCUCCAUAUAUGUGCUCCUUUAUUUACGCCUACAAUCAAGCUAAUGUAAUAUUAAUACUAUCUCAUCCCCCUCCUAUUUGCGUCACUUUUAUAAUAGGAAUUAAAGAUGUACACUUUCAAUUUACCUAAUAAAGGAAAUUGAAUCAUUCUUUUUCCUUAUUAUCAUGUAGCCAAUGUAAUAUUACAAUAACACUAAUUUUUCCUUAAAAUUAUUAUAAUCUUGUAGAUAAUUAAUGUAUAAGGUGAAUAUUUUAUAUGUAUAGUGUGAUAUUAUAUAUUUUGGAAGAUUAUAUUUUAAUGUAUAAGUUAUAAUAUAUUAGACAUUAGACAUUAGUUAUUUUUGGAAGACUAGUGUAUAAUAUAAUUCUUCUGCUAUAUAUUUCAUUAUAUUAUACAUUAAGAAGUUCUUAUUACAUUUAAGAGUCAUUUUAUGUAUUAUUUGGUAUAAUACAAUUAGAAAGUAUCGACGACUGAGGCAAUUCACCUAGUGCGGAGGCUGGUAGAGCAGUAUAGAGAGGAGAAGAGAGAUCUUAACAUGGUGUUUAUCGACUUGAAAAAGGCGUAUGACAAAGUCCCUAAGAAGGUUCUUUGGAAAUGUUUGGAGGCAAUGGGGGUCCUAGUGGCGUACAUCCGAUUGAUUAAGGACAUGUAUGAGGGAGCGAAGACUCGGGUAAGGACUGUGGGAGGAGAUUUCAAGCAUUUCCUGGUCUUGACAGAGUUGCACCAAGGAUCUACUCUUAGUUCAUUUUUAUUCGCCUUGGUGAUGGAUGUGUUGACGUGGAGUAUUUAGGGAGAGGUGCCUUGGUGUAUAUUUUUGCGGAUAAUGUAGUUUUGAUUGAUGAGUCGCGUCGAGAUGUUAAUGAUAAGUUGGAGGUUUGGAGACAAACCCUAGAAUCUAAAGAAUUCAGGUUGAGUAGGACCAAGACAGAGUACUUAGAGGGCAAGUUUAGUGACUCGAGGCAAGAGGACGAGGUGGUAGUGAAGUUGGAUUCUCAGGUGAUUUGUAGGAGGGAUAGUUUUAAGUAUCUUGGGUCUAUGAUUCAGGAGAAUGGAGAGAUUGAUAAGGAUGUCUCUCACCGUAUUGGGGUAGGUUAGAAGAAAUGGAGGCUCACCUCAGGAAUUUUAUGCGAUAAGAAGGUGCCUCCUAAGCUUAAAGGCAAAUUGUAUAGAGUUGCAGUCUGGCCGGCUAUGUUGUAUGGAGCAAAAAGUUGGCCUAUUAAGAAUUCUCACAUCUAAAAGUUAAAGGUGGCAAAAAUAAUGAUAUUGCGUUGGAUGUGCAGAUUUAUGAGGAAUGACAGGGUUAGAAAUGAAAUUAUUCGGGAGAAGGUGAAAGUGGCGUCGGUGGAGGAUAAGAUGGGGGAAGUGAGGUUGAGAUGGUUUGGGAAUGUGAUGAGAAGGGGCACGAAUGCCCCAGUUCAUAGGUGUGAGAGGUUGGCUUUGAAUGGUUUCAAGCGAGGUAGGGGUAGACCGAAGAAGUACUGGAGAGGAGUGAUUAGACGUGACAUGGAGCAGUUACAACUUACUGAGGAUAUGACCCUCGAUAGGAAGGUAUGGAGGAAAAGUAUUAAGAUAGAGGGCUAAGGUGUGUGGUCGAGUCGUAGUCUGCAUCUAGGAGGGUUUGGUGUAGCUUGGUUGGUAAUUCUAGGUUUGGGGGAGGGGGAUCCUUGGUUUGUUAAUGUACUUUAUUUUGUGGAUGUCAUAUCUCUAUUAUUUUAUCAUGUUGCUCGCUUUCGAUGUUUACUAUCCUUUGUCUUGAGCCGGGGGUCUAUCAGAAACAACCUCUCUACUUCUUUGGAGGUAGUGGUAUGGACUGCGUACAUUUUACCCUCCCCAGACCCCACUAUGUGGGAAUAUACUGGAUUUGUUGUUGUUGGUGUUAUACAAUUAGAAAGUAUUAUACCUUCUGAUAAGGAUACAGAAGUAUACAUGUUUAAUGUUAAUACUUAAAUGUAUAGUAUGACAUUAUAUAUUACUGCAGAUUAUUUUUUAAAUGUAUAAUGUGCCCACAUACAUAUACAACUGUUGUAUAAUGUUAUCUUUAAUAUGUAUCAGUUUUUUGCUAUCUUUUUUUCUCUUAAUUUGAGUCUGCUUUAAUUUUCUCAGGGCAUAAAAUACCGUAUUGAUAAAUUCCGAAAAUUAUUUCUUCAACUCUAUGUAAACCCUCACUCCAUUGUCAUUCCUUAUGAUAAUGGGAGAAGAAUUACCUUCAACAAUGUAUUUUACUUUAAUUUUUUUUAUGAACUUCUUCAAUAUUCAAUUCCAUCGCAAUCGUAGUAAUUAAUUUCAAGAAGAUUAUACUUUCUGAAACAAUAAUUGCUUCACUUUUGUAGGAUUGAUAAAUAAUUUCCGACUCCCAAAUACCAGAAUAAUGGCAACAAUAUGAGGAUGUUCAUAUUUUUUUGUCCCGCGAAUUGAAGAAAGAAGACGACUUUUUUUUUCAAGAAUGUAAUUCAACAAUUAGAACAAUUAACAGUGAUGUUUAAGAAUUUUUUUGAAUUUAAAUUUCAGUUACUAUAUUUAAUCAUACACCACAUAAUGAUAUGUAAUUAAUGACAUUAAUUAAGGUAGAGAAAGAUAGUAUCUGAUUUCUCUUUCCAUAAAAAUAGUCAAAUCUGUUUUAUCAUACAUUCCAGCAAUGUAUAAGGGCCUACCUAAUGUAUAAGUCUAUUUUGCAAAUUAGGGAGAGAG